This 283-nucleotide ribosomal RNA is filed under the name uncultured prokaryote. RNAcentral's name for it is "partial 16S ribosomal RNA". It matches the Rfam family "Archaeal small subunit ribosomal RNA", at positions 455 to 737 of the family's 1478-position model. The record is from RNAcentral.
GUGUCAGCCGCCGCGGUAAUACCGGCAGUCCGAGUGAUGGCCGAUCUUAUUGGGCCUAAAGCGUCCGUAGCCGGCUGAACAAGUCCGUUGGGCAAUCUGUCCGCUUAACGGGCAGGCGUCCAGCGGAAACUGUUCAGCUUGGGACCGGAAGACCUGAGGGGUACGUCUGGGGUAGGAGUGAAAUCCUGUAAUCCUGGACGGACCGCCGGUGGCGAAAGCGCCUCAGGAGAACGGAUCCGACGGUGAGGGACGAAAGCUCGGGUCACGAACCGGAUUAGAUACC